RNAcentral lists this ribosomal RNA (305 nucleotides) under uncultured bacterium. RNAcentral's name for it is "bacterial SSU rRNA". It matches the Rfam family "Bacterial small subunit ribosomal RNA", at positions 333 to 638 of the family's 1533-position model. The record is from RNAcentral.
AUAGGCCUACGGGGCGCAGCAGUGGGGAAUAUUGCACAAUGGGGGAAACCCUGAUGCAGCGACGCCGCGUGAGUGAAGAAGUAUCUCGGUACGUAAAGCUCUAUCAGCAGGGAAGAAAAAAAGUCCUUUGGACUUUGGACGGUACCUGACCAAGAAGCCCCGGCUAACUACGUGCCAGCAGCCGCGGUAAUACGUAGGGGGCAAGCGUUAUCCGGAUUUACUGGGUGUAAAGGGAGCGUAGACGGCAGCGCAAGUCUGGAGUGAAAUGCCGGGGCCCAACCCCGGAACUGCUUUGGAAACUGAGC